AUUGAACGCUGGCGGCAGGCCUAACACAUGCAAGUCGAGCGGAUGAGAAGAGCUUGCUCUUCGAUUCAGCGGCGGACGGGUGAGUAAUGCCUAGGAAUCUGCCUGGUAGUGGGGGACAACGUUUCGAAAGGAACGCUAAUACCGCAUACGUCCUACGGGAGAAAGCAGGGGACCUUCGGGCCUUGCGCUAUCAGAUGAGCCUAGGUCGGAUUAGCUUGUUGGUGAGGUAAUGGCUCACCAAGGCGACGAUCCGUAACUGGUCUGAGAGGAUGAUCAGUCACACUGGAACUGAGACACGGUCCAGACUCCUACGGGAGGCAGCAGUGGGGAAUAUUGGACAAUGGGCGAAAGCCUGAUCCAGCCAUGCCGCGUGUGUGAAGAAGGUCUUCGGAUUGUAAAGCACUUUAAGUUGGGAGGAAGGGCAGCUAGCGAAUACCUGGUUGUUUUGACGUUACCGACAGAAUAAGCACCGGCUAACUCUGUGCCAGCAGCCGCCGUAA
RNAcentral lists this ribosomal RNA (500 nucleotides) under uncultured bacterium. RNAcentral describes it as "partial 16S ribosomal RNA". It matches the Rfam family "Bacterial small subunit ribosomal RNA", at positions 30 to 523 of the family's 1533-position model. The record is from RNAcentral.